RNAcentral lists this ribosomal RNA (253 nucleotides) under uncultured bacterium. RNAcentral describes it as "partial 16S ribosomal RNA". It matches the Rfam family "Bacterial small subunit ribosomal RNA", at positions 524 to 776 of the family's 1533-position model. The record is from RNAcentral.
UACGUAGGGGGCGAGCGUUGUCCGAAGUUACUGGGCGUAAAGCGCGUGUAGGCGGCUUUGCAAGUCGGGUGUGAAAGCCCUCAGCUUAACUGAGGAAGUGCGCCCGAAACUGCAGAGCUUGAGUACCGGAGAGGAUGGUGGAAUUCCCCAAGUAGAGGUGAAAUUCGUAGAUAUGGGGAGGAACACCGGUGGCGAAGGCGACCAUCUGGACGGAUACUGACGCUGAGACGCGAAAGCGUGGGUAGCAAACAGG